Molecule: transfer RNA, 69 nt
Filed under: Ictidomys tridecemlineatus (thirteen-lined ground squirrel)
Lineage: Eukaryota; Metazoa; Chordata; Mammalia; Rodentia; Sciuridae
Description: Spermophilus tridecemlineatus (thirteen-lined ground squirrel) tRNA
Rfam family: tRNA
About the family: Transfer RNA (tRNA) molecules are approximately 80 nucleotides in length. Their secondary structure includes four short double-helical elements and three loops (D, anti-codon, and T loops).
Source: Rfam by way of RNAcentral
GGGGCUGUAGCUCAGUGGUAGAGCUCUUGUCUCACAUGUAUGAGGCCCUGGGUUCGAUCUUCAGCACCA